GGUCCGUUGUUCAUUUGCCAUUCGACCUCCGCCAGGGCCUGGUCGGACGGAAACGCUCCGCCGGCUUUAUUGUCGGCUCGCUAUGUGGCGGAGCCUGGCGGCUUAGCGCGCUUCUCGCAUCCGCGCCUCGGCAGCCGGCGGCGGCGACACGACUCCCCCUGAGGACGGAGAUCUGUUGGCGGGCCGGUGUGUGCGCGCAGCGCUGAAGCGGGGCAGCGGAGGGGCAACCUCACUCCUCCUCAACUUCGAAGGCCGCACGCGCCCGGCUCGCCGCUCCGCUGCCCGCCCACCGCUCCGCGCGGGACGCUGCCCGGAGCGCGGCGCGGCGCGGGUGGAGAGGACGCGGCUGGGACGGCGGCGGCAGUAGACGCUUGCGGCGGCCCGGGAGCGAGCGGGAGCCGGCGGGAGGCUGACAAUUUCCGGCCAGCGUGGUGGAGGGACACCGCCCUGUUAUAUUUAAGGGGCAAUUCAUGAAGAGCAUGACCAUGCUUCACUAGAAAGAAAAAUGACUCCUGCAGAAAACAACAGUAAAUCAAUCUGGAAAGACCAAGGACCAGAGCAGGAGCAGAUAUCAGAAAGCACAAUGUAUCCUUCAGAAAAUGACAGUAGAGCAAUCCUGAAAGACCAUGGAUCAGAAGAAGUGGAACAGACUUUAGAAACCUUACAAUCUAAGGAAGAAGAUGAAGUGACAGAGGCAGGUAAAGAAGGACACUCAUGGAGUGGUGGGGAAACUUCUGCUCUGUGCUUGGCAGCCACCGGACCUUGAAGGAGCUGGACUUGGGUGGCAGCAUCCUGAGUCAAUGGGCCAUGAGGAUACUGUGCCUUGAGCUGGGGAAUCAGUCCUGCAGAAUACAGAGGAUGACGUAAUUGCCACCCAGCCUGGGGUUUAAGAGUGCAGAGGUAGUGUCUGGCCUGAAACAUCUCUGGAAGCUCCUUUUUAGCAAUCAAAACUUAAAGUACCUCAAUCUAGGGAACACCCCCAUGAAGGAUGAUGACAUGAAGUUAGCCUGCGAAGCGCUGGAACAUCCAAAGUGCGCCCUGGAGGCUCUGAGACUGGACAGCUGUGGCCUCACACCUGCCAGCUGCCACCUUCUGGUCUCAGCCCUUUUCAGCAACCAGAACUUGACACACCUGUGCCUGUCAAACAACAGCCUGGGGACUGAAGGAGUGCAACAGCUGUGUCAGUUCCUGAGGAAUCCAGAAUGUGCUCUCCAGCGGCUGAUACUGAAUCAUUGCAACAUUGUAGAUGAUGCUUAUGGCUUCCUGGCAUUGAGACUUGCAAACAACACAAAGCUGACCCACCUGAGCCUGACCAUGAACCCCGUAGGGGAUGGUGCAAUGAAGCUACUGUGUGAAGCUUUAAAGGAACCUACUUGUUACCUUAAAGAACUGAAACUAGUGGACUGCCAACUUAUGCAGAACUGCUGUGAGGACCUGGCCUGUAUGAUCACAACAACCAAGCACUUAAAAAGUUUGGAUCUUGGUAACAACGCCCUGGGUGACAAAGGAGUCAUAACCCUGUGCGAGGGACUGAAGCAAAGUAGCAGCUCCCUGAGGAGACUUGGGUUGGGGGCAUGUGAGUUGACUUCCAAUUGCUGUGAGUCAUUGUCAUUGGCCAUCUCUUGCAACCCUCACCUGAACAGCCUAAACCUGAUGAAGAAUGACUUCAGUACAUCGGGGAAGUUGAAGCUGUGCUCUGCGUUCCAAUGCCCUGUCUCUAACCUGGGGAUAAUUGGGUCUGGCAACUUGGGCUCACCUGCAUUAACCUUCAUAGCAUUAAGAAGAAACUAAGGGACAGGUAAGCAUUUCCUUGCAUUAUUUCAUCAGACAAAGAGAUAUAUAGAUAGGUAUUUAAUGUAUGCUUCUACCUAACUGAGAUCAGGGGCUGGACUUCUUUCUUUGAGUAUCCACACUGUUGAUGUGACUGGGCAAGUGGGAACCAAUGACUUCUGUUUAAAAGUCUCUUUUCUGUUCCACAUUGUUCACUGUCAUCUAAAGCCAACACUAAUCCUUUUUUUCUUUUGGAACUCCACAGUUCAAUUCGAAUAGGUCAGCCCUUUGUUUUCUUCCAAAAUGUGUUUCAUGUCUUAAUGCUCAGGUGAAACAGCAUUCAAUGUGAUGGCUAUAAUUGUGUUUGUAGACUUCAGUGGAUGGAUUGAAACUGAUUCCUCCUAUGGAAAACAAACACAACCUUUCAAAUCUGAGUUUCAAAAUAAUCUGUGUGUACAUGGGUUAAAGUGUGACAGUGUUAAUGUAUUUCAGAGUAGCUGAGGGAAGCUGAGAAUGAUUCACACACAUCUCCAGCAUCUGAUUCCAUAGUAAAAGAGGCAAGAUGCAUGAAGUUAUGAAUAAAUAACAUUAUUUAGUCCUCAGCAAUGUUUUCAAUAUACAGACUCUAUGUAUAAAUUGAGACUUAUGUAUGGGGUAAGAAUACUAGUGACUCUUGUGAAAUAUUUUAUAUUUUCCCAGUUUGAUUUUCUGAAAAUUUGAUACUUUGUUUUCUUGCUAUUUUAUUCAUUUAUGCAACUUUUUAUUGGUAGCAUAUAAAUAUUUUUUCAUAUAUAAUCAUAUUAUGAGGAAUGAUUGGAGUCUAAUGAUUGAACAGUGUACUUUAAUUUUUUACUUUUCACGAAUUCACCUUCAAAGUAUGCAUUGUGUCAAAAUGUCAUUAUUUUGUUGAUCAAUAGAGAAAUAGUUACAACAUAUGUAUACAUUUCUUCUCAAAAUAAGAGGAAUUCAGUGGCACAAAAUCAUGCAGUAUUUUCAAGCAAAGAUUCUCUAAUGGAAUGUAAUAGUGUCUCCCUCCUGACUAGAAUAAAUAAUCCCAGAUCAACUAAUAAGUGUGGACAGUAGACCAGAGUCCUGAGGACAGUACUGUCCUUCAUGGUCACCCCUCCUAUUGGCACAGAAGUCUUUCAAUGUCUUCUCAGAAUGAAGCCAUGAAAACCACUGAGGAAGUGGCACUUCAGAUCGUGUUGCUUUGUCAGUUUGGAAUAGGGACUAUGGCUAACAUCCUUCUGUUUAUCCAUAAUUUCUCUCCACUUUUGACUGGAUGUCAACUGAGACCCAAACAAGUGAUUUGUACUAACAUGGCUGUGUCCAGCAUCUUAAUUCUAUUCAUGACUGUGUUCCCAAACAAUGUGUUUGUUGUUCAAAGGAAUCUAAUGAAUGACCUUCAAUGUAAACUUGAAUACUUCCUACGCAUGGUAGCAAGAAGCAUAAACUUGUGUUCCACCUGUGUCUUGAGCACCUAUCAGUUUGUCACUCUUCUUCCUGGCAAUUUUGGUGAGAUGAUGGUCAGAGGAAGAAGGUCCAAGGUCAUAAGCUAUUCCUGUUGUAGUUGUUGGUUGUUUGGUGUCUUAUAUAAUGUCUACAUUCCAAUGAAAGUCAGUGGUCCACAGAACACACAUAAUAAAACUGACAUUAAAAGUAAGUGGUUCUGUGUUACAUCUGGCUUCAGUGUAGGCAUUAUGUUCUUGUGGUUUGCCCAUGAUGCCAUAUUUAUCAGCAUCAUGAUCUGGACCAGUGUCUCCAUGGUACUUCUCUUGUAUAGACACUACCAGAGACUGCAGUACAUUUUCCCUCCCCAUCAAGGCACCAGGGGCUAUGCUGAGAUCAGAGCAGCCCAUAGCAUUGCUAUGCUUGUGGUCACAUUUGUAAGCUUUUAUCUUCUACACUGUAUUUGUUUUAUUCUUCACAUUGUUUUUGUAGACUCUCGUCUGUGGCUGAGGCAUGUAGGUGAAGUUUUAACUUCAAGCUUCCCCACUAUUUCUCCCUUGCUGUUGAUCUUUAGGGAUCCUAGUUAUCCUUGUUCUCUGAUAUUCAACUAUAGAAAGCCAGUCAUUUAAAAUACCAAGCACUUAAGACAGCUUAUUAACACUGUUGAAAAUUUCUACUGAAUAAAUAUAUGUUUAACAUG
Molecule: RNA transcript, 3919 nt
Organism: Mus musculus (house mouse)
Lineage: Eukaryota; Metazoa; Chordata; Mammalia; Rodentia; Muridae
Gene: Nlrp5-ps
Gene name: NLR family, pyrin domain containing 5, pseudogene
Exons: 12
Source: RefSeq, marked validated